UGGGGAAUUUUGGACAAUGGGGGCAACCCUGAUCCAGCAAUGCCGCGUGUGUGAAGAAGGCCUUCGGGUUGUAAAGCACUUUUGUCCGGAAAGAAAACUUCGGGGCUAAUACCCCUGGAGGAUGACGGUACCGGAAGAAUAAGCACCGGCUAACUACGUGCCAGCAGCCGCGGUAAUACGUAGGGUGCGAGCGUUAAUCGGAAUUACUGGGCGUAAAGCGUGCGCAGGCGGUGCUGUAAGACCGAUGUGAAAUCCCCGGGCUUAACCUGGGAACUGCAUUGGUGACUGCAGCACUAAAGUAUGGCAGAGGGGGAUGGAAUUCCACGUGUAGCAGUGAAAUGCGUAGAGAUGUGGAGGCACACCGAUGGCGAAGGCAGCCCCCUGGGCCAAUACUGACGCUCAUGCACGAAAGCGUGGGGAGCAAACAGG
RNAcentral lists this ribosomal RNA (429 nucleotides) under Bacillota bacterium. Its description in RNAcentral is "Firmicutes bacterium partial 16S ribosomal RNA". It matches the Rfam family "Bacterial small subunit ribosomal RNA", at positions 355 to 776 of the family's 1533-position model. The record is from RNAcentral. Lineage: Bacteria; Bacillati; Bacillota.